GGUACGUGAGCUGGGUUCAGAACGUCGUGAGACAGUUCGGUCCAUAUCCGGUGCAAGCGCAAGAAUAUUGAGAGGACUCCUCCUUAGUACGAGAGGACCGGGAGGAACGCACCGCUGGUGUACCAGUUAUCGUGCCAACGGUAAACGCUGGGUAGCUAUGUGCGGAGAGGAUAACCGCUGAAAGCAUCUAAGUGGGAAGCCCACCUCAAGAUGAGUAUUCUCAUGGGAUAACCCAGUAAGGUCACAGGUAGAUUACCUGUUUGAUAGGCUUUAGGUGUAAGUGUAGUAAUAUGCGUAGCCAAGAAGUACUAAUAGACCGAGGGCUUGUCCUCA
Molecule: ribosomal RNA, 333 nt
Filed under: Pseudanabaena frigida
Lineage: Bacteria; Bacillati; Cyanobacteriota; Cyanophyceae; Pseudanabaenales; Pseudanabaenaceae
Description: bacterial LSU rRNA
Rfam family: Bacterial large subunit ribosomal RNA
Source: RNAcentral